GCGCUCAAGCUCAGCUCAUCGCCAUGGCUCGUAGUGUUCGUCGACGUGAAACGGACGCUGCUGCGCCGAAGCGAUGCGCCCACGGCUGUGUGCUGAACUCAUCCAAGGAGGAGGCGAGCACGUCCGCGGUGUGGCCUUGAUUGCCGGUGAAAUGUUGGGAGUCAUGCUUAGUUAGCUGACCAAGCAAUUCUUGGUCGGUUCUACAGAAAAAUCAGGUUGCUCGAGCGGGUAACAAGUGAGGUUUUCAAUGCCUGUUAGAGGAUGGCGCCCCGGAACUCUUCAAAUCACUGAUGAUGGCUGAAGGAAAAGGAAAAGAAGCUACCAAGGGGUCCUGCUGAAGGUUGUUCUAGCUGCCUGAUGAUCGAGUAACUUCAGGUUUUGAUUUUUAUUGUGUUCCUCCCUUUGUUGUGUUGUUUCCGGGCCGGGGGUCCUCAUUUAAACUUGAAGCUUGUGCAAUAUGGAGUCGAUCGAUGCCGUUCCUGGUGAUGUAUAUAUCUGGAUUGUGCAGUUGUGCUGCAUGUUGGGAAUGGGUCGAAGCGGCGUCCCGGUCUCUUCUUGUUGGUUGCUGUGGCAGUAUGAUGUAGUAACUUUUUGAUCAGUAGGCUGUUUGGGUUUCUUGCAUGUAAG
RNAcentral lists this long non-coding RNA (627 nucleotides) under Hordeum vulgare. RNAcentral's name for it is "long non-coding RNA (HVUL_LNC020225)". The record is from RNAcentral. Lineage: Eukaryota; Viridiplantae; Streptophyta; Magnoliopsida; Poales; Poaceae.